This 484-nucleotide ribosomal RNA is filed under the name uncultured bacterium. RNAcentral's name for it is "partial 16S ribosomal RNA". It matches the Rfam family "Bacterial small subunit ribosomal RNA", at positions 29 to 507 of the family's 1533-position model. The record is from RNAcentral.
AUUGAACGCUGGCGGAAUGCUUUACACAUGCAAGUCGAACGGCAGCACGGGGGCAGCCCUGGUGGCGAGUGGCGAACGGGUGAGUAAUACAUCGGAACGUGCCCGGUCGUGGGGGAUAACGUAGCGAAAGUUACGCUAAUACCGCAUACGAUCUGAGGAUGAAAGCGGGGGACCUUCGGGCCUCGCGCGAUCGGAGCGGCCGAUGUCAGAUUAGGUAGUUGGUGGGGUAAAGGCCUACCAAGCCGACGAUCUGUAGCUGGUCUGAGAGGACGACCAGCCACACUGGGACUGAGACACGGCCCAGACUCCUACGGGAGGCAGCAGUGGGGAAUUUUGGACAAAGGGCGCAAGCCUGAUCCAGCCAUUCCGCGUGCAGGACGAAGGCCUUCGGGUUGUAAACUGCUUUUGUACGGAACGAAAAGGCUCUGGCUAAUACCUGGGGCUCAUGACGGUACCGUAAGAAUAAGCACCGGCUAACUACGUG